UCCAUUGGGUGGGGAGGGCGACGCGACCCGAGACCGGGUCGGCAGGGAGCCACGGGACCGGCGGGAGCUCGGCCGGCGAGUCCCGACACCGGAAGACCGCGGCUCCGCCCGGCAGGCAGCGGGACACACCAGCCUGGGCUGGAAAUCAGGGAAACGAACCCGGAACCUAGACCCAGCGGCGCCGGAACAGGAGUGCGGGUCUGAAUGACUGGAGAGAAAGCGGAAGCGGAAGGAAGGGGGCGUGGCCUCCGAGGCUUCUUGGAGGAGUCGAGGGGCGACUGCGGGCACGGAGGAACCUGAUGUGCCAUCAGCUUGGGCAUUGUGCAUGAAGCCCACCACAUCAUUCAGACUCCAGCACAGGGCAUCUGCCAACAGAACCAAUGACUCAUCAAAGUACUCAGCCACCAUGACCAGAUCAAAGACUGAGUCCAACCAGGCCAGACCCCACUGGAUAAAGGAUGAGGGCCCAAAAUCUGAGGAGGCAAGGCUGGCUGGCUCCUUGUAACUACCAGCAGCUGUGGUAAUAGGUUGGAAGAGAGUUCCAGGGCUAGCACUGGAAGGUACAAUAUGUAGCCGGAGGGAUUUGGGGUCUCUGGAUAGCUGGGGACUCACUCUCAUGGUCUUUGUCUCUGGAGGGGAGGGCAAACCAAAGUCAAACCAUAGUAAGUUACGGGCAUAGUGGUUGCCACGGGCCCCAGGUCUGUAGAAGGCUUGAGGAUUGGCCAGGAAGGCGGCCAAAGAAGGUGCCUUUCGGAAAGCCGAUGAAACUGAUUUGUAAUAGGAGAAGGCAGAGCGGGCUAGAGCCGCUGGAUCUCGGACAAUGGAAAAGAAGAAGCUAUCAGAAGGCAUGACCUGAAGUACCUGCAGAGGAAAGAAAGAGGAAGAGCUUUACUGAGGAGAAAAUGAGUACAAGCUGAGGCUCCGAUGAGCCUUCGGACCCUGCUGUCUACCCUCAGCUUCCCCUCCUAGCUGCAUGACCUUAGGGAAAUUACAUAAUACCUCUGAAAUUCAGUUUGCUUGUCUGCAAAAGGAAAUUAGUCAGGGGUUCCCAGGUGAUUGAAAAGAAUACUGAGAUAAUAACUAGUCAGAAAUCUGGAACACAGAAAGCUCAUAUUGGUCAUUAAUGUCCUUGGGUCUUUGUGUCUUCGUUGGUUGGGAAAAAUUCUCAAACCUGGGGCUGGGGAGACGGCUCAGUCAAUAAAGUAUGUGCCACACAAG
Mastomys coucha (southern multimammate mouse) is the source of this 1218-nucleotide long non-coding RNA. RefSeq lists it as uncharacterized. The transcript has 2 exons. The record is from RefSeq and is a predicted model, not a curated record. Lineage: Eukaryota; Metazoa; Chordata; Mammalia; Rodentia; Muridae.